UUCGGUGGUCAUAGCGUGAGGGAAACGCCCGGUUACAUUCCGAACCCGGAAGCUAAGCCUCAAAGCGC
Molecule: ribosomal RNA, 68 nt
Organism: Saccharothrix sp. ST-888
Lineage: Bacteria; Bacillati; Actinomycetota; Actinomycetes; Pseudonocardiales; Pseudonocardiaceae
Source: Rfam